RNAcentral lists this ribosomal RNA (467 nucleotides) under uncultured bacterium. RNAcentral's name for it is "partial 16S ribosomal RNA". It matches the Rfam family "Bacterial small subunit ribosomal RNA", at positions 29 to 507 of the family's 1533-position model. The record is from RNAcentral.
ACGCACGCUGGCGGCGUGCUUAACACAUGCAAGUCGAACGGAAAGGCCCUGCUUUUGUGGGGUGCUCGAGUGGCGAACGGGUGAGUAACACGUGAGUAACCUGCCCUUGACUUUGGGAUAACUUCAGGAAACUGGGGCUAAUACCGGAUAGGAGCUCCUGCUGCAUGGUGGGGGUUGGAAAGUUUCGGCGGUUGGGGAUGGACUCGCGGCUUAUCAGCUUGUUGGUGGGGUAGUGGCUUACCAAGGCUUUGACGGGUAGCCGGCCUGAGAGGGUGACCGGCCACAUUGGGACUGAGAUACGGCCCAGACUCCUACGGGAGGCAGCAGUGGGGAAUAUUGCACAAUGGGCGGAAGCCUGAUGCAGCAACGCCGCGUGCGGGAUGACGGCCUUCGGGUUGUAAACCGCUUUCGCCUGUGACGAAGCGUGAGUGACGGUAAUGGGUAAAGAAACACCGGCUAACUACGUG